GGCAAGUGGGCAGAGUUGGUGGCGGUGGCAGGUGAGGCGACAGACAUAGGGUGCGGCGGCCAGGGUUAGGAGAUAGGGUUUUUCAUGUUUUUUUGUUUUUAGGUAUUGGGCUAAUUUUUUUCUGAUUUGGGCUUGUAUUUAGGUUGUUUGGGUUUAAUUGGUUUUAUUUUCUCUGGUGGGCCCGGGCAAUAAUUGGGCUGUACAAUUAUUAUUAUUUGUAUAUGUUUUUGUUUGAGUGUUUUGUUUUUUUAUGUAGGUCACUCAUUCGAGGAUUGCACAAUAUAUUCGAGCUUUAACGUAGAGGAGGACUACUUUAAUCUACCUCACAUCACUUCGUGGAAAAAUAAGGGACUCCUAAACGAUUAUAUUUAGUUGGGAACACAUUGGGGAAAAUAUGUUUUUGUUUUUGCUGUUUUAAGAAUUAUAUAAUUUGUUUCCUUUUUGUCUAAUUAGAUCAAGCCACAUUAACUCUUCAACAUUACAGUCAAGCGUUG
RNAcentral lists this long non-coding RNA (494 nucleotides) under Gossypium barbadense (sea-island cotton). RNAcentral describes it as "long non-coding RNA (GBAR_LNC023295)". The record is from RNAcentral. Lineage: Eukaryota; Viridiplantae; Streptophyta; Magnoliopsida; Malvales; Malvaceae.